This 1175-nucleotide ribosomal RNA is filed under the name Leuconostoc carnosum. RNAcentral's name for it is "bacterial SSU rRNA". It matches the Rfam family "Bacterial small subunit ribosomal RNA", at positions 286 to 1454 of the family's 1533-position model. Lineage: Bacteria; Bacillati; Bacillota; Bacilli; Lactobacillales; Lactobacillaceae. The record is from RNAcentral.
GCCGAGUUGAGAGACUGAUCGGCCACAUUGGGACUGAGACACGGCCCAAACUCCUACGGGAGGCUGCAGUAGGGAAUCUUCCACAAUGGGCGAAAGCCUGAUGGAGCAACGCCGCGUGUGUGAUGAAGGCUUUCGGGUCGUAAAGCACUGUUGUAUGGGAAGAAAAGUUAAGGUAGGGAAUGACCUUAGCCUGACGGUACCAUACCAGAAAGGGACGGCUAAAUACGUGCCAGCAGCCGCGGUAAUACGUAUGUCCCGAGCGUUAUCCGGAUUUAUUGGGCGUAAAGCGAGCGCAGACGGUUGGUUAAGUCUGAUGUGAAAGCCCGGAGCUCAACUCCGGAAAGGCAUUGGAAACUGGUUAACUUGAGUGCAGUAGAGGUAAGUGGAACUCCAUGUGUAGCGGUGGAAUGCGUAGAUAUAUGGAAGAACACCAGCGGCGAAGGCGGCUUACUGGACUGUAACUGACGUUGAGGCUCGAAAGUGUGGGUAGCAAACAGGAUUAGAUACCCUGGUAGUCCACACCGUAAACGAUGAACACUAGGUGUUAGGAGGUUUCCGCCUCUUAGUGCCGAAGCUAACGCAUUAAGUGUUCCGCCUGGGGAGUACGACCGCAAGGUUGAAACUCAAAGGAAUUGACGGGGACCCGCACAAGCGGUGGAGCAUGUGGUUUAAUUCGAAGCAACGCGAAGAACCUUACCAGGUCUUGACAUCCUUUGAAGCUUUUAGAAAUAGAAGUGUUCUCUUCGGAGACAAAGUGACAGGUGGUGCAUGGUCGUCGUCAGCUCGUGUCGUGAGAUGUUGGGUUAAGUCCCGCAACGAGCGCAACCCUUAUUGUUAGUUGCCAGCAUUCAGAUGGGCACUCUAGCGAGACUGCCGGUGACAAACCGGAGGAAGGCGGGGACGACGUCAGAUCAUCAUGCCCCUUAUGACCUGGGCUACACACGUGCUACAAUGGCGUAUACAACGAGUUGCCAACCUGCGAAGGUGAGCUAAUCUCUUAAAGUACGUCUCAGUUCGGACUGCAGUCUGCAACUCGACUGCACGAAGUCGGAAUCGCUAGUAAUCGCGGAUCAGCACGCCGCGGUGAAUACGUUCCCGGGUCUUGUACACACCGCCCGUCACACCAUGGAAGUUUGUAAUGCCCAAAGCCGGUGGCCUAACCGUAAGGAGGAACC